GCCUCUGUAGAUUAGUGGCAGAUCGCCUCAGAAACAUGGCAUUGGCGGUGUGUUGUUCUUGAGGAGCCGUGGGUUCAACUCCCACCAGAGACA
Molecule: non-coding RNA, 93 nt
Organism: Mycena epipterygia
Lineage: Eukaryota; Fungi; Basidiomycota; Agaricomycetes; Agaricales; Mycenaceae
Source: the annotation of a GenBank genome assembly